AAUCAACGCUGGCGGCGUGCCUAAUACAUGCAAGUCGUACGCGAAGACCCCGCAAGGGGUUGUUAGCGUGGCAAACGGGUGAGUAACGCGUGGGCGACCUGCCUUCGAGUGGGGGAUAACCUUCCGAAAGGAGGGCUAAUACCGCAUGACAUACCGCGCUUGGAUGCGCGGAUAUCAAAGCCGGGGAUCGCAAGACCUGGCGCUUGAAGAGGGGCCUACGUCCGAUUAGCUAGUUGGUGGGGUAACGGCUCACCAAGGCGACGAUCGGUAUCCGGCCUGAGAGGGCGGACGGACACACUGGGACUGAGACACGGCCCAGACUCCUACGGGAGGCAGCAGUAGGGAAUUGUUCGCAAUGGGCGCAAGCCUGACGACGCAACGCCGCGUGGAGGAUGAAGGGCUUCGGCUCGUAAACUCCUUUCGACCGAGAUGAAUACCCGCAGGGCCAAUACCCUUGCGGACUGACAGUAUCGAGGGAAGAAGCCCCGGCUAACUCCGUGCCAGCAGCCGCGGUAAUACGGGGGGGGCAAGCGUUGUUCGGAAUUACUGGGCGUAAAGGGUUCGUAGGUGGUCAACUAAGUCAUACGUGAAAUCCCUCAGCUUAACUGGGGAACUGCGUCUGAUACUGGUUGACUUGAGUGCAGGAGAGGAACGCGGAAU
RNAcentral lists this ribosomal RNA (660 nucleotides) under uncultured bacterium. Its description in RNAcentral is "bacterial SSU rRNA". It matches the Rfam family "Bacterial small subunit ribosomal RNA", at positions 28 to 667 of the family's 1533-position model. The record is from RNAcentral.